RNAcentral lists this ribosomal RNA (442 nucleotides) under uncultured fungus. RNAcentral describes it as "eukaryotic LSU rRNA". The stretch from base 15 to 169 matches the Rfam family "5.8S ribosomal RNA". The record is from RNAcentral. Lineage: Eukaryota; Fungi.
ACGCAAUACAAUACAACUUUCAGCAACGGAUCUCUUGGCUCUCGCAUCGAUGAAGAACGCAGCGAAAUGCGAUAAGUAAUGUGAAUUGCAGAAUUCAGUGAAUCAUCGAAUCUUUGAACGCACCUUGCGCCCCUUGGCCAUUCCGAGGGGCAUGCCUGUUUGAGUAUCAUGAACACCUCAACUCUCACAGCUUGCUGUGAUGAGCUUGGAAUUUUGGAGGUUUUGCUGGCCUGUGGNCGGCUCCUCUCAAAUUGAUCAGCUUGCCAGUGUUUGGUGGCGACACGGGUGUGAUAAAUAUCUACGCUUGUGGUCGUCUGCCANGUGACCUUCGGCGAUGGAGGUUUGCUGGAGCUUAUAAACGUCUCUCCUCAGCGAAGACAGCUUCUUGAACGUUCGAUCUCAAAUCAGGNAGGANUACCNCGCUGANCUUAAGCAUAUCAAU